Molecule: ribosomal RNA, 488 nt
Filed under: uncultured bacterium
Lineage: Bacteria
Description: bacterial SSU rRNA
Rfam family: Bacterial small subunit ribosomal RNA
Source: RNAcentral
AAAUGAAUAGACGGGCACCCGCACAAGCGGUGGAGCAUGCUGUUUAAUUCGAAUCAACGCGAAAAACCUUACCUAGACUUGACAUCCCUGGCAAAGCUAUAGAAAUAUAGUGGAGGUUAUCCGGGUGACAGGUGGUGCAUGGUUGUCGUCAGCUCGUGUCGUGAGAUGUUCGGUUAAGUCCGUUAACGAGCGCAACCCUUAUCUUUAGUUACUAACAUUCAGUUGAGAACUCUAAAGAGACUGCCGGUAACAAACCGGAGGAAGGUGGGGAUGACGUCAAAUCAUCAUGCCCCUUAUGUCUAGGGCAACAGGCGUGCUACAAUGGCCGGUACAAAGAGUCGCAAUACCGCGAGGUGGAGCCAAUCUCUAAAGCCGGUCUCAGUUCGGAUUGAAGUCUGCAACUCGACUUCAUGAAGUUGAAAUCGCUAGUAAUCCCAGAUCAGCAUGCUGGGGUGAAUACGUUCUCGGGUGUUGUACACACCGCCCGU